Vicia faba (fava bean) is the source of this 234-nucleotide non-coding RNA. Lineage: Eukaryota; Viridiplantae; Streptophyta; Magnoliopsida; Fabales; Fabaceae. The record is from the annotation of a GenBank genome assembly.
AUGAGCUUCCAUUCCAAAUCAUCUUUGAGAGCGGCUAAGCACUCAGCUGUCGAGAAGUUCGUCGCGACUGUGAGCGCCACCCAUUGUUGGAAUUUUCUGAGCGAGAUUGGAUCGGAGAUUGGAGAUAUUGGGAGCGGCGAGAUUGAAAUGGGAAAACGGAUAGUUAUCUGUGUGUCCGAAGAUAGAGAUGGAAUUUGGGUUGCGGAGCGGAAGAGAAGAAGGGAUUUACAGUGA